GCAUGUCACCAUAUAAUUCUUAAUUAAAUAAUAUAUUUAGAGGUAUGAAUGAAGUCUUUUUCAUUCUUGUCAACUCCUUUCUUGCUUUUAAUCUAGUUUUAAGAAACUUAUGUUUUUUAGUCUUUGGCAUUAGCCAUUUUAGUUCUUCUUUGAAUAUACAUACUUUCUUCUAUUUUGUCACUUUUCUUUUGACACAAAUUCUACAAAUUUAUGUAUCUUCUUUCAAUUUGUGUCCUUAAUAUACACAUUCCACGAAUUUAUGUAUCUUCUUCUAAUUCAUGUCCUUGACAGAUUGAUAAGAAUGCACAUACAAUACCAGAGUUUUUUCUUUUCUUGAUUAAGAGUGGAUUAUUCCUUUUUCUUGAUAAGACAUAAGCAUACUAGAAAUUACGGAUUACCCUUCUCUAAACUAAU
Molecule: long non-coding RNA, 414 nt
Filed under: Physcomitrium patens
Lineage: Eukaryota; Viridiplantae; Streptophyta; Bryopsida; Funariales; Funariaceae
Description: long non-coding RNA (PPAT_LNC005150)
Source: RNAcentral